Molecule: microRNA precursor, 89 nt
Filed under: Canis lupus familiaris (dog)
Lineage: Eukaryota; Metazoa; Chordata; Mammalia; Carnivora; Canidae
Description: mir-8799 microRNA precursor family
Rfam family: mir-8799 microRNA precursor family
Source: Rfam by way of RNAcentral
CGGGGGAGGCCGGAUCCUGGGCUGUGUCCCGGCGCCCUGUGCUUCGAAGCCUGCGCUGUUGGAUUCGCGCUCCCGGCCCGCAGCCCCCU